RNAcentral lists this ribosomal RNA (440 nucleotides) under uncultured bacterium. RNAcentral's name for it is "partial 16S ribosomal RNA". It matches the Rfam family "Bacterial small subunit ribosomal RNA", at positions 338 to 795 of the family's 1533-position model. The record is from RNAcentral.
CCUACGGGAGGCUGCAGUAGGGAAUAUUGCGCAAUGGGGGAAACCCUGAAGCAGCAACGCCGCGUGGAGGAUGAAGGUUUUCGGAUUGUAAACUCCUUUUGUUAGAGAAGAUAAUGACGGUAUCUAACGAAUAAGCACCGGCUAACUCCGUGCCAGCAGCCGCGGUAAUAAGGAGGGUGCAAGGGUUACUCGGAAUCACUGGGCGUAAAGAGCGCGUAGGGGGGAUAGAAAGUCAGAGGUGAAAUCCCAGGGCUUAACCAUAGAACUGCAUUUGAAACUGUUAUUCUAGAGUAUUGGAGAGGUAGGUGGAAUUCUUGGUGUAGGGGUAAAAUCCGUAGAGAUCAAGAGGAAUACUCAUUGCGAAGGCGACCUGCUAGAACAUAACUGACGCUGAUGCGCGAAAGCGUAGGGAGCAAACAGGAUUAGAUACCCCGGUAGUC